AGCGCUCAUUCGGUUGCAGCAAUGUAGCCGAGUGGGAGCGGCGCAAGGGUGCGUAACACGUGGGUAAUUUGCCAAAAAGUUUGGGAUAACUCGCUGAAAGGCGAGCUAAUACCGGAUGUGAUCAUCGGGCGGCAUCGUUUGAUGAUUAAAGUUGGGGACCGUAAGGCCUGACGCUUUUUGAUAAGCCCGCGGCCUAUCAGCUAGUUGGUGAGGUGACGGCUCACCAAGGCUAAGACGGGUAGCUGGUCUGAGAGGACGACCAGCCACACUGGAACUGAGACACGGUCCAGACACCUACGGGUGGCAGCAGUCGAGAAUUUUUCACAAUGGGCGAAAGCCUGAUGGAGCGACGCCGCGUGGGGGAUGAAUGGCUUCGGCCCGUAAACCCCUGUCAUUUGCGAACAAACCUUGCUAUUUAAAAGAUGGCGAGCUGAUUGUAGCGAAAGAGGAAGGGACGGCUAACUCUGUGCCAGCAGCCGCGGUAAUACAGAGGUCCCAAGCGUUGUUCGGAUUCACUGGGCGUAAAGGGUGCGUAGGUGGUGAGGUAAGUCGGAUGUGAAAGCUCCGAGCUCAACUCGGAAAAUGGCAUUGGAAACUACCUUGCUCGAGGGUUUGAGGGGGGACUGGAAUACUUGGUGUAGCAGUGAAAUGCGUAGAUAUCAAGUAGAACACCAGUGGCGAAGGCGAGUCCCUGGAAAACUCCUGACACUGAGGCACGAAAGCUAGGGGAGCAAACAGGAUUAGAUACCCUGGUAGUCCUAGCCGUAAACGGUGCGUAUUUGCUGU
Molecule: ribosomal RNA, 786 nt
Filed under: uncultured Verrucomicrobiota bacterium
Lineage: Bacteria; Pseudomonadati; Verrucomicrobiota
Description: bacterial SSU rRNA
Rfam family: Bacterial small subunit ribosomal RNA
Source: RNAcentral